GUGGUAACUUUGAAGGUCAGGUGACAAUGUUUUAAAAGAGAGUGGGAAUGCCCUUUAUGGUCGGCGUCAAUUGGUGCUUUUUGACUGCUGUUACAUGUAGCACCAAAUUGAUUUAAAUUGUGAUUCCUCAAAAUAUCCUUAUCUUGAUUAGUCAGAGGUCUCAAAUAAUUAUGCAUUACUGUUCUUUUUUAUAAGAAGUUAUCAUGAUUGUUAAAAAUCAGUUGAUUAUUUCAUUGCCAUGUACUAAGAAUUACUGUUAAAGUGAUGUCACAAUUUUAUUUACCGUUAUUCGUCAUGAAGGUACCCACAUUAGGACCCUCUUAUAAGCUUUCUAAGUUUAAAUUUUUUUGAUGAACACUAAAGAAAUGGU
RNAcentral lists this long non-coding RNA (370 nucleotides) under Mytilus galloprovincialis (Mediterranean mussel). Lineage: Eukaryota; Metazoa; Mollusca; Bivalvia; Mytilida; Mytilidae. The record is from RNAcentral.